ACCGGUCUCCGGUAGUGGCCCCCGGGACCACCGGCACCUCGCCGACCACCCGGGCGCUUCGAUCGAAGACCGGC
Molecule: regulatory RNA element, 74 nt
Organism: Micromonospora siamensis
Lineage: Bacteria; Bacillati; Actinomycetota; Actinomycetes; Micromonosporales; Micromonosporaceae
Rfam family: Actino-pnp RNA
Source: Rfam